GAUGAACGCUGGCCGCGUGCCUAAUACAUGCAAGUCGAGCGAACGGACGAGAAGCUUGCUUCUCUGAUGUUAGCGGCGGACGGGUGAGUAACACGUGGAUAACCUACCUAUAAGACUGGGAUAAUUUCGGGAAACCGGAGCUAAUACCGGAUAAUAUUUUGAACCGCAUGGUUCAAAAGUGAAAGACGGUCUUGCUGUCACUUAUAGAUGGAUCCGCGCUGCAUUAGCUAGUUGGUAAGGUAACGGCUUACCAAGGCAACGAUGCAUAGCCGACCUGAGAGGGUGAUCGGCCACACUGGAACUGAGACACGGUCCAGACUCCUACGGGAGGCAGCAGUAGGGAAUCUUCCGCAAUGGGCGAAAGCCUGACGGAGCAACGCCGCGUGAGUGAUGAAGGUCUUCGGAUCGUAAAACUCUGUUAUUAGGGAAGAACAUAUGUGUAAGUAACUGUGCACAUCUUGACGGUACCUAAUCAGAAAGCCACGGCUAACUACGUG
This 497-nucleotide ribosomal RNA is filed under the name uncultured bacterium. RNAcentral describes it as "partial 16S ribosomal RNA". It matches the Rfam family "Bacterial small subunit ribosomal RNA", at positions 28 to 507 of the family's 1533-position model. The record is from RNAcentral.